Non-coding RNA from Actinobacteria bacterium OK006, 86 nucleotides. Lineage: Bacteria; Bacillati; Actinomycetota; Actinomycetes. The record is from Rfam.
ACGCCGCCUGUGCGGCGUUCGCGCUCCUCACAACGGGGCCAGAGAGCGGGGGUGGUGCCGUGUCGGCGCAGCACCACCCCCGCGCC